RNAcentral lists this unclassified non-coding RNA (897 nucleotides) under Cantharellus anzutake. Its description in RNAcentral is "partial contains 18S rRNA, ITS1 and 5.8S rRNA". The stretch from base 709 to 897 matches the Rfam family "5.8S ribosomal RNA". The record is from RNAcentral. Lineage: Eukaryota; Fungi; Basidiomycota; Agaricomycetes; Cantharellales; Hydnaceae.
CUUGGUCAAUUUAGAGGAAGUAAAAGUCGUAACAAGGUUUCCGUAGGUGAACCUGCGGAAGGAUCAACCCCUGUGGGUAUAGUGAGAUGGUUUUUCCAACCCAACCCGUGCGCACAUCCAUUGGACUGGAUGCACGGGUGUGUGGUCUUCUUGGUGGGGAGGCCUGGUUAGGGCCUGACUUGGUGGGGGUGACUAGGCUGGACGGUGUACUGACAAAGCCGUUUUUCCAGUUAUAGAGCCGUUCCGGUCGGGCCCAAGGGCAUGUCCAGUCCCAUUGGUGGUGGACGCCCCUCCGUGGGCUCUGAGGCCUUGUCACCCUCAGUGUCCGUCGGAGUCUACAAAGGGGCGCUUGUGCCCCGGCGUAACGUGGAUGUGUGUGUACAUACAUAUUCCGGUUGGCCUUGUGCCAACAACAUGCCAGUGAAGACGUGUCCUUGUCCACUCCAACGUUUUUACCUACGGGACAAGGCCUAGCUGGUCCGCAGGCGGCGGGAUGACUUGGGUUGGAAGAGGGGGCCGAUGUGUACACAAUGCCCUCCUUCCGUUGUGCCCAAUCGUCUGAAGUUAUGGGCCUCGACGAAUUGAUGUAAGUCGAGGGGGUCAUAUCUGUUUUUGGCCCGGCAUGGACCUAGACCUACACGCGGUGCCCCUGUUCUUGACUGAUUAGGUCUAUAACAUCAAGCUGAGUUUUCCAAUGGGUUUUUAAAUAACUCUCAACAAUGGAUCUCUAGGCUCUUGCAUCGAUGAAGAACGCAGUGAACUGCGAUAACUGGUGUGAGUUGCAUGGCACUUCUAAUCUAACACCAAGCGAAUCAUCGAGUCUUUGAACGCAAACGGCACCCUUCCAGUCCAUUCCAAAGCGGUGGCGGAGGAUGAAGACAAGGGUAUCUCUGGCUG